Molecule: long non-coding RNA, 1794 nt
Organism: Zea mays
Lineage: Eukaryota; Viridiplantae; Streptophyta; Magnoliopsida; Poales; Poaceae
Exons: 2
Source: RefSeq, a predicted model, not a curated record
CUCCUCCACUGUUGCUGCAUUUCUCUUCUUUCUUGUCUUCCUCUUCCCCAUCUCUCUCUUCCGUCCCCUCACUCACACGCACCACGCUGUUGCCACUCGCCGUGCUGGCUCCACUGCCCUCCAUCCCCGCCCCGCUCCGGACCUCCCCACCUGCACGGGACACGGCCAACGACGUACAACUACCGUCCAAAUCGAUGCGUAUAGUCUGGACCAGCCAUGGAGACUUUCCUUCCUCGCCCCCCUCCUCGUCAGCCCGCAUCUGGCAUAGAUUAGUUGCCUACGUCUCCGUCCCCUGAUCGCUCCACUCCCCAUCAGCCUCGCCAGGUAUGUCUCGUCCUCGCCUCCCCCUCCUCGCCAGCCUUGCGUCUGGUCUGGAUUAGCCGCCUCUAGCUCCCUCCCCAUAUCGCCCCACCAACUGUCAUCCUCACCAGGUAUGUCUUGUGUUCCCUCACCUUGACGCUUCUCCCUUCUCGGCCACCCACUUCGUUGGUUUCCAUCAGCGCCCAUCGCUGAUUCGGGUCUCCUUGCUGUUUAGCGUCGCGUCUCGUGAAAGACGAUGCUGCAAUCUGGAGGACAUGGAUUAGAUGGGUGCCACACACUGCUUUUAUAUGGAUCUAAUGAUUGUGGCCUUGAACAUUCUCGCCAGACAUGUCUCGCAUUUUUUACAUGGAUUAGAUGAGUACAUGGAUCUUUAUUUAAUCCUAAGGUAAUUGAGAUUGCGAAGAAGAUGAAAGAGGAGAGGGUCAGGUUGCUUGCUUCAGAAUAUUUUGCUUACAGCUGAUAUGACUAGAUCAAAUCAGUUGCAUUGUGACAAUGUCGGUAGGAUGUCAGUUUCCCUUUUAACUUGGCUCUCGUUUGCUUAUUGUGUAAUUUGUGUAUAUCCCUGAGAUGAACAUUUUGGUAAUCUGGGUGCUCAUUCAAUGGGUUGAUUUGAUCUUCAAGUAUUUAAUCUGGGUGCUCAUAUAAGUGGUUGAUUUUCAUCUUCAAGUAUUUAAUCGAGUGGUUUCACGCAAAUAGGUACUGAAGCCCAUAUGACUAUGCAUGAUCUAGGACAUAAUGUUUGGAAUAAAUAAUAACAUGGAUAUCUAGCCAUGUGUAAUCUGUGUGUAAUCUUUUCACUGGGUCAGUUAAUCUUCUGUUUCAACCAAAAAUGUGCAGAUUAUGUCACUACUUAAUUUGCUUUGGCUUUGAAAGAUGCAGGGAUCUUCUGUUAAAUUGAUUUACCUAGGAUCCUGCUACAAGCCUACAAGAGCUUACCUCAUUAUAUCUCUGUGAGAUUACAGCAAAAAUAUCCAGCUUCUAUAUAUUUUAUUGCUACACAGGUUUGACUGUUUCUAUGUUGGUCAUGGAUAUGGUUCGGUUUUACUACUGUAAAAAGGGAUUGAAAAACGUAACCUGAUUUUGAUUUUUUUGUUUGGAUCAAGAUGAAAUGGUAGGUUCCUCGAAGGACAAACCAUGCUGAGGAGACACGGAGGCGACAGAGCUAGGGCAGCAGCACAACCAUCACAGAGAUUAUUGAGUCUCCAGCUUAUGUCCUACAACCGAAGAGCUAAUACAAGCAUAAUCUUCUUCAGCCAGAUAGAUGUACUUUUAUAUACCUCACUACAACUGUUACAGAGUUGAUUUUGCUCACAUGUUCGUACAAAAACCCUACAUCGAGAAUGUACAAAUGUAGCAAAGCAGAUUUAUUCCUCUUUGUUUGGUAUUUCAUUACUCUUUCAGUUUGCCCAAAAAAAGAAUAAGUCGUGCCUAUUCUACCAUAUUGCUGCAACAAAAUUUUGAUUUGCUUAGUAA